RNAcentral lists this ribosomal RNA (1239 nucleotides) under Monothalamids sp. RNAcentral's name for it is "SSU rRNA". It matches the Rfam family "Eukaryotic small subunit ribosomal RNA", at positions 1160 to 1677 of the family's 1831-position model. Lineage: Eukaryota; Foraminifera. The record is from RNAcentral.
AAGGGCACCACAAGAACGCGUGGAGCAUGUGGCUUAAUUUGACUCAACGCGGGAAAUCUUACCGGGUCCGGACACACUGAGGAUUGACAGGCAAUCUUGCGAUUUGCUGAGCCUUUCGGCCUUAUGGCCUCUCUUGCUGUUAACCAGGCGGGGGUUGCUUUAGCCGGCUGGCCGAGCUGUCGCAUCUAAAUAUGCUAGUCCUUUCAUGAUUAUGUGAUAGGUGGUGCAUGGCCGUUCUUAGUUCGUGGAGUGAUCUGUCUGCUUAAUUGCGUUUCGCACUGGACUUGAUAAUCAAGUGUGCUAUUCUUCUUGUGCCUCGUACACGGCCUGCGCGUUAUAAAGUUGGUGUGUGUACCCCGGCUGCUUGGGUGGGUUGGCUGUGCUAUCGUGCGUGUGCCUGGCUGGUGCCUUCGGGUGGCCGCAGGUUGCGCGUGCGUGUGCGCGGCCUCUCGCUCGCGGUGGUUUGGUGUGUAUCGCGCCUUCGAGUGCUUGGCCAGUGCUUGGUGCGUUUUGGAAGGGUAUGUGCACAUUGGGUCCUGAAAGCAACGAACGUGACCGCAUCCUCUUGUUGCCUUUUAUCUGAACCAGCUUUUCGCCGCCUUUGGUGUCCGUCGGCGCGCGCGUUUCGCUUCCUCACGGUCGCGGCUCGUGUGAGUCGUGCGGCGCCAUGUUAUAGGUGGUGGUCUGCGCGUUCUAACAAAAGAGGCUCUAUUCUCCUUACCAGGGGGAAAUAAAACUAGAGGGACCGCUGCGACUUUUUCAAACCAGAGGAAGGUUGCGGCAAUAACAGGUCUGUGAUGCCCUUAGAUGUUCCGGGCUGCACACGUGCUACAAUGAUUAUUGCAGUGAGCAUCUCAUUUCCAAAACGCCGUUAAUCCAUUCGGGUCGGUGGCUUUACCGCCGCUGGACUGAGUAGAUUCGGCUCAGCCUGCUUCGAGAGUUAGCAGGUAAUCAAUUGGAAGUAAUGAUUUCCCCCAAUUUCUAGAUUCUAAAUUUAGAUCUUACGAGCACACAAUAUGCUGCUCCCUUCCAGGUGUGCUUCCGAUAUACCGUGUUGCGCGCCGUUGUAGGGAUGUCUCCUCUUUUGGAGAUUUACAGCAUGUGCUUUUUGUCAAUUCAUGGUGGGGACAGACCAUUGUUAAUUGUUGGUCUCGGUCUUAACUAGGAAUGCCUUGUACGGGUCUUUGGUUCAACAAACCACCCGGAAUACGUCCCUGCCCUUUGUACACACCGCCCGUC